UCCCUGGUGGCCCAGUGGCUAAGACUCUGCAGUCCCAAUGCAGGGGGCCUGGGUUCGAUCCCUGGUCGGGGAA
Molecule: transfer RNA, 73 nt
Filed under: Bos taurus (domestic cattle)
Lineage: Eukaryota; Metazoa; Chordata; Mammalia; Artiodactyla; Bovidae
Also listed under: 3 other names
Rfam family: tRNA
About the family: Transfer RNA (tRNA) molecules are approximately 80 nucleotides in length. Their secondary structure includes four short double-helical elements and three loops (D, anti-codon, and T loops). Further hydrogen bonds mediate the characteristic L-shaped molecular structure. tRNAs have two regions of fundamental functional importance: the anti-codon, which is responsible for specific mRNA codon recognition, and the 3' end, to which the tRNAs corresponding amino acid is attached (by aminoacyl-tRNA synthetases). tRNAs cope with the degeneracy of the genetic code in two manners: having more than one tRNA (with a specific anti-codon) for a particular amino acid; and 'wobble' base-pairing, i.e. permitting non-standard base-pairing at the 3rd anti-codon position.
Source: Rfam by way of RNAcentral